GUGCUCGCUUUGGCAGCUCCUAUACCAAAAUUGGAACGAUACAGAGAAGAUUAGCAUGACCCCUGUGCAAGGAUGACAUGCAAAUCGGUGAUGCAUUCCAUAUUUAA
Gracilinanus agilis (Agile Gracile Mouse Opossum) is the source of this 107-nucleotide small nuclear RNA. NCBI's taxonomy places the organism in Eukaryota, Metazoa, Chordata, Mammalia, Didelphimorphia, Didelphidae. The record is from RefSeq and is a predicted model, not a curated record.